ACUUAUAUAUAAAAUACUCAAUUAUAGAAAUCCUACCCUUAGUUUUCAAUUCCUAGACCUAGACCUAGCUACACCCCAAUUCCCAAAAAGACCAGCCAUUUUUCCAUCCUUAAAAAUCUGAUUUGCAAAAACCCAAAACCCCACCUCACGAGUCCGGUUAAUUUCACACUAUAAUCGAUCGAUUGAUUUGAUUAAAAAUCAGCAACCUUUUCAGUUGCGAAUUUCAAUUUCAACUUUUUCAAUCGAUCGGUUGAUUUGGAUUAACUAUAAGUCAUUAGUGGUUAAAUCUCAAUCAAAAGCAUAUGUGGAAAUCAAACCCCCAUCGUCCCACUAUCUGCUUGUGUAGGUGAUAACAAUUAUGAUUGUGGCUAAUUGGGGUUUUAAAUUAGAUAGAUACCUCUGGCUUUGCAUAUGUUGUUAUGCUUGUGACUAAAAUGGAGUGGUUUCGAGUUUUUCGGUGUCGAUUCGAGGUCCCGGUUCGCACUUUCGGUGUUUCGGUCCAAGGAUUGUUGCUUCGUUUAGCCCGAUUGAUUUGCAAUUUUCAGCUUUGUUCAUCAAUAAAAGGUCCAUUUCUCAAUUUUCAUUCUCA
This is a non-coding RNA of Nicotiana tabacum (common tobacco), 589 nucleotides long. Lineage: Eukaryota; Viridiplantae; Streptophyta; Magnoliopsida; Solanales; Solanaceae. The record is from RefSeq and is a predicted model, not a curated record.